Molecule: ribosomal RNA, 222 nt
Filed under: Triticum aestivum (bread wheat)
Lineage: Eukaryota; Viridiplantae; Streptophyta; Magnoliopsida; Poales; Poaceae
Description: partial small subunit ribosomal RNA
Source: RNAcentral
AUGAAUUGUAUCACUUGGAACUGUCGCGAGCUUGGGAACCCGGAGACAGUUCGUGAACUUCACCACUUGGUGAGGGUGGAAGCACCCACCUUAGUCUUCUUGUCCGAAACAAAGAUUGAGGGGAAUAAAGUAGCGGAUAUGCGAGCAAGGCUAGGUUUCGAGGGGUGUAUACCUGUCAGCAGUAACGGGUUGAGCGGAGGACUUGCCCUUUUCUGGUCUUGA